Molecule: RNA transcript, 2086 nt
Organism: Ricinus communis (castor bean)
Lineage: Eukaryota; Viridiplantae; Streptophyta; Magnoliopsida; Malpighiales; Euphorbiaceae
Exons: 5
Source: RefSeq, a predicted model, not a curated record
ACUGUAUAAAUAGACUGAAAGCCCUAAUAUUAGGGUUUUCAUUUUGUGCAGCUCUCUCUUUCUCUCGUAAUCUAAUCCAAUCUGCUCUUGUUUGCUGCUGCUCAAUCUCAGGCAACAUGGGGAGAGUGACAAGGAAAGGGUUCUGAAAGAAGUUGUGAAUUGUUGUUGGAAAUAUGAGUUUUGAAGCUUUACAUGCUGUGAAAGUGUACCGACAUCUUCUAAAAGCUAUCAAGAAACAUAUUGGCCAGGAAGAUUACAAGAAGCAUUUUGGAGAAUUUGUAAUGUUAGAAUUCCGAAAGAACACCAAUCUCUCUGAUCAUUCUGCCAUUCAGCAGAAAAUCAAGCUUGCCCGCAACUAUACUUUUCUGCUUAAUAGUGUGCACCAUCACAAGGAUUUGCUGUUUUCUUACAACAUUGCUGUGGACAGGUCAGAUGAAAUGAAAAGAAUAUUAGGAAAAUCUGCUGCCAGCGUAGGUCUUCAGCUUCCUGAGGUUUAUCAGCCUUGAUGGUGAAGAAUUUUUGCUCUUUAUUCUAUAUCCUUUUGAGCAUGCAGCGUUCAAGGUACUGUAAGAACUAGGAAUUUGGUUCGUGCAGAUUUGCCUAAACCUAAGAUUUGGAUUGAUUUGUUCAUUCUGAUGGAACUUAGUGAGGAAGAAGGCUAUGGGCACAUAUUUGUAUAAAUAAAAACACUUGAGAAGCCAGAUUCUUGAAGAUUUUACCCCAAUGAGUAGGGUUUGCAGGAUUCUUGGCAUCACCGCCAAAAGAUGCCAGUUUUACCCUGCCUCAUUAUGACAUUGUCAGAGUACUUUUUUUUUCUACAGACAUUAGAAUGAUUUACCAUUUGUUUCUAGAGUCAACCUUGAGAAAACUGAGGGUUGAGUUAAUAUAUCCAAAUCGGUUUCUCAGUACCUCCAUUUGAGCGCUCAUUACAAGAAUCAGAAAUCCCAUCAGGUUGAACCGGAAUGCAUCUUACUUCAAUUGCAUUUGAAGGGACUUACUUCAAUUGCAUUUGAAGGGACAUUUUAUGGAGAGCUGCUAAACAUCAAAGCUUUGAUUUUAAUCAAAUGUAAACAAGUAACAAUCGACAAAGACAUAAUUUGUCAAUCAGGAUUACCCUGAUGACACUCCUUUGGCAUUGUAUAUGAGCUAUGAGAUCCUGGAUUUUGUGGAUGCACCAUACCAACCACUUCACUCUUAUGCAUGCUCGGGGGUUGGAAUUCUAUCAAAUAUUUUCUUGUUCAGCAAGUGAAAAUGGGUAAAAUUGCAAGUCCCAUGUCGGGGAAGCAGCACCUCUAAAGCCAAUAAGAGCCAAGGAAAAGAACACAACUAGUCUACUGAGCUCUUACUUCCUUCUAAGAAUGUCAUAACGCAUAACUUAGUCCAUUCCAAGUUAAAGAUGCCAUUAUUUCCAUCUCAUCCAAAUACAAAGAAAUGGAAAAAAAUCUCUGUGAAAAGAUUAGCAUUUUGUAAUACUGAAACAGAAACUACCUCUCGUAGAUUUGUGGAUCAGAUCCAAAAUUCAGAGUUCAUGUUAAUAAAAGGUCAAAACAGACAACUAUAAUAUUGCAAAGACUUUACACGUGUUCAGACUUUCACACACGUGUCACCCUAAGUUUCUGUAACAGUGCCACUUAUUCUGCUCUAUCCUCUAUAUCACUGGGCAGUUGGCUAAAAUUAGCAAGAGCUAAAAAAAAACCACCUACCAAAUUUAGGAAGCGGCAAUACAAACUAUCAUCAUCAACAGCAAGCAAUAACAUCAAGAACAAGUAGAAUAAGAAGAAGAAAAUGGGUUCAGAGACUUUCUUAGAGGUGAUACUGGCCAUUCUGCUACCUCCUGUUGGGGUCUUCCUACGUUAUGGAUGUGGAGUGGAGUUCUGGAUAGAUUUGUUGCUGACAAUUUUGGGAUAUAUUCCUGGGAUUAUAUAUGCAAUUUAUGUAUUGGUUGGAUAGUUAAAGAUUUGAUGUUUUCUCUUUUUCUGUUUAUGUACAUGUUUUGAGGUCAUUUGUGUAUCUAUCUUUUCAGAUUAUUAUCUGUUUAGUACGGUUUUAUGAUUAAUGGAGGACUUUCUUGUUAUUUAAUUUAUAA